GUCCAGAGAGCGCGUGUGAGCACAGCUGCUGGUCCAGCGAGAUGUGCGUUUCUGCCAGGUUCUAUCAGUCGCUGAGACUUCGUUGCUGGCGACCACUGAGACAUCAUCUCAAAUCCCAGCUGCCUCUGCCUCCCUCGAUUUUUCAAAGCAAUGUUUCCCCAACCAGAUUUACAUUUUCAAAAACCCUUCAGAUCAUCACAAACCCAAGAAACUUCCACUCCUCUGAGGUUUAAUUAGGAGAAACUGUCUUUCUGGUCCUUCCGAGAGCCGGGCUCUCAAUUUCUCAGCAGAAAGGGAAGGUUCUGGUGGAUGAGCGGGGGCGAGGGAACUCGUGAACAGCCUCGCCUGCCUGCAGCGGAGAGAAAGCCGCGCUGAGGUCACUGAAAUCACGUUCCCCCAGGGCACCCCUGAGGCACCCCCGGAGUUCCAGGGAGCACAGUUUGAAAGCACAGUAUUACAGGAGUGCGCGCCAUAAGCAGAAUGAAAAACGCUUUCUAAAAUCUACCUGCCCCCAACCAAACCUGGAUUGGAAGCUUCUUGAGGGCCAGCAGCACCUGGCGCCUGCUGAAAACACAAGUGUCUGUGAAGUGGAUGGAGGAGUGAAGCCUUUGUUUUCAUUUCCGAGGUCUGGCUCAGCUUCUCAGUCCCGGGACGCCCUCGCUGCAGUCCUUCAUGACCCUGUAAGGCAGGCGACAGUCUCCGGCUGCUCCCGGAUGGCGAGUUUGCGCUUUCCUUGCCUUUGUAUCAGAAUGAUUUGUGGCUUCUCAGGUGGAACGGCUGGUGAUAUAAUUAACAUUUCAAAACUUCGCAACCACAAAUUGAAUUUGUUUUGAAUAUUUGGGGAUGUUUAAACAGUAGCUUGAGUGUUAAAUUUGCACUUUAUGGGAG
This 888-nucleotide long non-coding RNA is filed under the name Equus caballus (horse). RNAcentral's name for it is "lncRNA (ENSECAG00000041038.2)". Lineage: Eukaryota; Metazoa; Chordata; Mammalia; Perissodactyla; Equidae. The record is from RNAcentral.